This 212-nucleotide long non-coding RNA is filed under the name Nicotiana benthamiana. RNAcentral's name for it is "long non-coding RNA (NBEN_LNC003858)". Lineage: Eukaryota; Viridiplantae; Streptophyta; Magnoliopsida; Solanales; Solanaceae. The record is from RNAcentral.
CAUCGCGGGCCUUGUGGAUGUGAAACAUAUAGUGCACAGGGAAAUCCAAGGGUUCGAUAAUGAGUCUGAAAGUGUUAUGCAUUGAUGCCCACUGGAUCAUCAUUUCUAUUUCUCUUUCUUCCACCCAAACUUACUAAGAUGUUCUUAAUGUCUUUUAUAGUGUCUUUCUAUGCCGAUAACUCAUUAUUUUUCCUCACUUGAUUCCCUCUUCU